UGAGUAACCUGCCCUUCACUCUGGGAUAACUCCGGGAAACCGGGGCUAAUACUGGAUAUGACUCGAACAGGCAUCUGUUUCGGGUGGAAAGAUUUAUUGGUGGAGGAUGGACUCGCGGCCUAUCAGCUUGUUGGUGAGGUAAUGGCUCACCAAGGCGACGACGGGUAGCCGGCCUGAGAGGGUGACCGGCCACACUGGGACUGAGACACGGCCCAGACUCCUACGGGAGCA
Molecule: ribosomal RNA, 231 nt
Filed under: uncultured bacterium
Lineage: Bacteria
Description: partial 16S ribosomal RNA
Rfam family: Bacterial small subunit ribosomal RNA
Source: RNAcentral